GAAUGCUGACAUAAGUAACGAUAAAGCGGGUGAAAAGCCCGCUCGCCGGAAGACCAAGGGUUCCUGUCCAACGUUAAUCGGGGCAGGGUGAGUCGACCCCUAAGGCGAGGCCGAAAGGCGUAGUCGAUGGGAAACGGGUUAAUAUUCCCGUACUUGGUGUUACUGCGAAGGGGGGACGGAGAAGGCUAUGUUGGCCGGGCGACGGUUGUCCCGGUUUAAGCGUGUAGGCUGGUUUUCCAGGCAAAUCCGGAAAAUCAAGGCUGAGGCGUGACGACGAGGCACUACGGUGCUGAAGCAACAAAUGCCCUGCUUCCAGGAAAAGCCUCUAAGCAUCAGGUAACAUCAAAUCGUACCCCAAACCGACACAGGUGGUCAGGUAGAGAAUACCAAGGCGCUUGAGAGAACUCGGGUGAAGGAACUAGGCAAAAUGGUGCCGUAACUUCGGGAGAAGGCACGCUGACACGUAGGUGAAGUGAUUUACUCAUGGAGCUGAAGUCAGUCGAAGAUACCAGCUGGCUGCAACUGUUUAUUAAAAACACAGCACUGUGCAAACACGAAAGUGGACGUAUACGGUGUGACGCCUGCCCGGUGCCGGAAGGUUAAUUGAUGGGGUCAGCGCAAGCGAAGCUCCUGAUCGAAGCCCCGGUAAACGGCGGCCGUAACUAUAACGGUCCUAAGGUAGCGAAAUUCCUUGUCGGGUAAGUUCCGACCUGCACGAAUGGCGUAAUGAUGGCCAGGCUGUCUCCACCCGAGACUCAGUGAAAUUGAACUCGCUGUGAAGAUGCAGUGUACCCGCGGCAAGACGGAAAGACCCCGUGAACCUUUACUAUAGCUUGACACUGAACAUUGAGCCUUGAUGUGUAGGAUAGGUGGGAGGCUUUGAAGUGUGGACGCCAGUCUGCAUGGAGCCGACCUUGAAAUACCACCCUUUAAUGUUUGAUGUUCUAACGUGGACCCGUUACCCGGGUUGCGGACAGUGUCUGGUGGGUAGUUUGACUGGGGCGGUCUCCUCCUAAAGAGUAACGGAGGAGCACGAAGGUUGGCUAAUCCUGGUCGGACAUCAGGAGGUUAGUGCAAUGGCAUAAGCCAGCUUGACUGCGAGCGUGACGGCGCGAGCAGGUGCGAAAGCAGGUCAUAGUGAUCCGGUGGUUCUGAAUGGAAGGGCCAUCGCUCAACGGAUAAAAGGUACUCCGGGGAUAACAGGCUGAUACCGCCCAAGAGUUCAUAUCGACGGCGGUGUUUGGCACCUCGAUGUCGGCUCAUCACAUCCUGGGGCUGAAGUAGGUCCCAAGGGUAUGGCUGUUCGCCAUUUAAAGUGGUACGCGAGCUGGGUUUAGAACGUCGUGAGACAGUUCGGUCCCUAUCUGCCGUGGGCGCUGGAGAACUGAGGGGGGCUGCUCCUAGUACGAGAGGACCGGAGUGGACGCAUCACUGGUGUUCGGGUUGUCAUGCCAAUGGCACUGCCCGGUAGCUAAAUGCGGAAGAGAUAAGUGCUGAAAGCAUCUAAGCACGAAACUUGCCCCGA
RNAcentral lists this ribosomal RNA (1525 nucleotides) under Salmonella enterica subsp. enterica serovar Bareilly. RNAcentral's name for it is "partial 23S ribosomal RNA". It matches the Rfam family "Bacterial large subunit ribosomal RNA", at positions 1292 to 2802 of the family's 2925-position model. RNAcentral also lists the same sequence under 2 other names. Lineage: Bacteria; Pseudomonadati; Pseudomonadota; Gammaproteobacteria; Enterobacterales; Enterobacteriaceae. The record is from RNAcentral.